Molecule: ribosomal RNA, 269 nt
Filed under: Rhizobium sp. NFR12
Lineage: Bacteria; Pseudomonadati; Pseudomonadota; Alphaproteobacteria; Hyphomicrobiales; Rhizobiaceae
Description: partial 16S rRNA. Bacterial SSU
Rfam family: Bacterial small subunit ribosomal RNA
Source: RNAcentral
CUCAACUUGAGAGUUUGAUCCUGGCUCAGAACGAACGCUGGCGGCAGGCUUAACACAUGCAAGUCGAACGCUCCGCAAGGAGAGUGGCAGACGGGUGAGUAACACGUGGGAACGUACCCUUUACUACGGAACAACUCCGGGAAACUGGAGCUAAUACCGUAUGUGCCCUUCGGGGGAAAGAUUUAUCGGUAAAGGAUCGGCCCGCGUUGGAUUAGCUAGUUGGUGGGGUAAAGGCCUACCAAGGCGACGAUCCAUAGCUGGUCUGAGAG